RNAcentral lists this ribosomal RNA (2905 nucleotides) under Enterobacter hormaechei. RNAcentral describes it as "23S ribosomal RNA". It matches the Rfam family "Bacterial large subunit ribosomal RNA". Lineage: Bacteria; Pseudomonadati; Pseudomonadota; Gammaproteobacteria; Enterobacterales; Enterobacteriaceae. The record is from RNAcentral.
GGUUAAGCGACUAAGCGUACACGGUGGAUGCCCUGGCAGUCAGAGGCGAUGAAGGACGUGCUAAUCUGCGAAAAGCGCCGGCGAGGUGAUAUGAACCUUUGACCCGGCGAUGUCCGAAUGGGGAAACCCAGUGCAAUCCGUUGCACUAUCGUUAACUGAAUACAUAGGUUAACGAGGCGAACCGGGGGAACUGAAACAUCUAAGUACCCCGAGGAAAAGAAAUCAACCGAGAUUCCCCCAGUAGCGGCGAGCGAACGGGGAGCAGCCCGGAGUCUGAAUCAGCUUGUGUGUUAGUGGAACGGUCUGGAAAGUCCGACGGUACAGGGUGAUAGUCCCGUACACGAAAGCACACAUGCUGUGAACUCGAAGAGUAGGGCGGGACACGUGGUAUCCUGUCUGAAUAUGGGGGGACCAUCCUCCAAGGCUAAAUACUCCUGACUGACCGAUAGUGAACCAGUACCGUGAGGGAAAGGCGAAAAGAACCCCGGCGAGGGGAGUGAAAAAGAACCUGAAACCGUGUACGUACAAGCAGUGGGAGCCUCUUUAUGGGGUGACUGCGUACCUUUUGUAUAAUGGGUCAGCGACUUAUAUUCUGUAGCAAGGUUAACCGUAUAGGGGAGCCGAAGGGAAACCGAGUCUUAACUGGGCGUUAAGUUGCAGGGUAUAGACCCGAAACCCGGUGAUCUAGCCAUGGGCAGGUUGAAGGUUGGGUAACACUAACUGGAGGACCGAACCGACUAAUGUUGAAAAAUUAGCGGAUGACCUGUGGCUGGGGGUGAAAGGCCAAUCAAACCGGGAGAUAGCUGGUUCUCCCCGAAAGCUAUUUAGGUAGCGCCUCGUGAACUCAUCUUCGGGGGUAGAGCACUGUUUCGGCUAGGGGGCCAUCCCGGCUUACCAACCCGAUGCAAACUACGAAUACCGAAGAAUGUUAUCACGGGAGACACACGGCGGGUGCUAACGUCCGUCGUGAAGAGGGAAACAACCCAGACCGCCAGCUAAGGUCCCAAAGUCAUGGUUAAGUGGGAAACGAUGUGGGAAGGCACAGACAGCCAGGAUGUUGGCUUAGAAGCAGCCAUCAUUUAAAGAAAGCGUAAUAGCUCACUGGUCGAGUCGGCCUGCGCGGAAGAUGUAACGGGGCUAAACCAUGCACCGAAGCUGCGGCAGCGACACUAUGUGUUGUUGGGUAGGGGAGCGUUCUGUAAGCCGUUGAAGGUGUGCUGUGAGGCAUGCUGGAGGUAUCAGAAGUGCGAAUGCUGACAUAAGUAACGAUAAAGCGGGUGAAAAGCCCGCUCGCCGGAAGACCAAGGGUUCCUGUCCAACGUUAAUCGGGGCAGGGUGAGUCGACCCCUAAGGCGAGGCCGAAAGGCGUAGUCGAUGGGAAACAGGUUAAUAUUCCUGUACUUGGUGUUACUGCGAAGGGGGGACGGAGAAGGCUAUGUCAGCCGGGCGACGGUUGUCCCGGUUUAAGCAUGUAGGCGGAGGUUCCAGGUAAAUCCGGUACCUUAUUAACGCUGAGGUGUGAUGACGAGGCACUACGGUGCUGAAGUGAUAAAUGCCCUGCUUCCAGGAAAAGCCUCUAAGCAUCAGGUAACACGAAAUCGUACCCCAAACCGACACAGGUGGUCAGGUAGAGAAUACCAAGGCGCUUGAGAGAACUCGGGUGAAGGAACUAGGCAAAAUGGUGCCGUAACUUCGGGAGAAGGCACGCUGAUAUGUAGGUGAAGCCCCUGCGGGCGGAGCUGAAAUCAGUCGAAGAUACCAGCUGGCUGCAACUGUUUAUUAAAAACACAGCACUGUGCAAACACGAAAGUGGACGUAUACGGUGUGACGCCUGCCCGGUGCCGGAAGGUUAAUUGAUGGGGUUAGCGGCAACGCGAAGCUCUUGAUCGAAGCCCCGGUAAACGGCGGCCGUAACUAUAACGGUCCUAAGGUAGCGAAAUUCCUUGUCGGGUAAGUUCCGACCUGCACGAAUGGCGUAAUGAUGGCCAGGCUGUCUCCACCCGAGACUCAGUGAAAUUGAACUCGCUGUGAAGAUGCAGUGUACCCGCGGCAAGACGGAAAGACCCCGUGAACCUUUACUAUAGCUUGACACUGAACACUGGUCCUUGAUGUGUAGGAUAGGUGGGAGGCUUUGAAGCGUGGACGCCAGUCUGCGUGGAGCCAACCUUGAAAUACCACCCUUUAAUGGCUGGUGUUCUAACGUGGACCCGUUACCCGGGUUGCGGACAGUGUCUGGUGGGUAGUUUGACUGGGGCGGUCUCCUCCCAAAGAGUAACGGAGGAGCACGAAGGUUGGCUAAUCCUGGUCGGACAUCAGGAGGUUAGUGCAAUGGCAUAAGCCAGCUUGACUGCGAGCGUGACGGCGCGAGCAGGUGCGAAAGCAGGUCAUAGUGAUCCGGUGGUUCUGAAUGGAAGGGCCAUCGCUCAACGGAUAAAAGGUACUCCGGGGAUAACAGGCUGAUACCGCCCAAGAGUUCAUAUCGACGGCGGUGUUUGGCACCUCGAUGUCGGCUCAUCACAUCCUGGGGCUGAAGUAGGUCCCAAGGGUAUGGCUGUUCGCCAUUUAAAGUGGUACGCGAGCUGGGUUUAGAACGUCGUGAGACAGUUCGGUCCCUAUCUGCCGUGGGCGCUGGAGAAUUGAGGGGGGCUGCUCCUAGUACGAGAGGACCGGAGUGGACGCAUCACUGGUGUUCGGGUUGUCAUGCCAAUGGCACUGCCCGGUAGCUAAAUGCGGAAGAGAUAAGUGCUGAAAGCAUCUAAGCACGAAACUUGCCCCGAGAUGAGUUCUCCCUGAGACUUUAAGUCUCCUGAAGGAACGUUGAAGACGACGACGUUGAUAGGUCGGGUGUGUAAGCGCAGCGAUGCGUUGAGCUAACCGAUACUAAUGAACCGUGAGGCUUAACCUU